GUCAGGAGCAUGGAUGUGGAGGGUGUGAAUAGCCCUCCCGUCGGCGACGCUCUCAAAGGGAGCGCGGCUUGGCGGCAGCACCGCCAGUGACCGGGCCGGGCCGGGCCGGGCUCCGCACCUGCCGGCCGGGAGAGCUUGGCCGGGCCGGGCCGGGCCGGGCCCGCGGUCGCCCCGCUGGCGGAGUCUCAGGCACGGCGCCCCGGCCGGGCGGCCCCAGAGCCGCCGGGCCCUGACGUCUUUAAGGCAGGCUCCUCCUCUCCGCGAGGCUCCGGGGGCCGGGGCGCGGGGGCGGGGGACCCUGCGGAGGUGUUUCAUUUCCUACCGAGGGCUGCGGUGUGCCGCUGCCGAGCUCGGGAAGGGCGGCGUGGCGUGGGACGGAACGGGACGAGGCAGAAAGGAGCGGGCGCGGCUCCGGGCGCUGGCGACAGGCGGACCUCGCUUUCCCCGCGCCUGCCGCCUCGGGGCCCCGCGGAGCGGAGCGCAUCGCGGAUCCUCCGCGGACAAUCCCGCCACACCGUGUGCUUUCUCCCCCGUGUAGCCCCUGCUGGAGGAGGGAGAGACGUGGAAGGAGUGUCAGCUCGUCCAGCGAGUGAACGGCGAGGUCACAAAAUGGAUUCAGACAAACCGGAGGAUCAGAAAAAGCAGCAAGAAGAAAAUGAAGCAGGAUGAAGUUGUGUUCCAGCAGUUGUCUUAAAGGAAGGAGUCCUCCAUGUAAUUAUGGAAGAGCUGAAGGGAAGAAGUGCC
This 744-nucleotide long non-coding RNA is filed under the name Cyanoderma ruficeps (rufous-capped babbler). Its description in RNAcentral is "lncRNA (ENSCRFG00000009953.1)". The record is from RNAcentral. Lineage: Eukaryota; Metazoa; Chordata; Aves; Passeriformes; Timaliidae.